RNAcentral lists this ribosomal RNA (587 nucleotides) under Hanseniaspora uvarum. Its description in RNAcentral is "partial large subunit ribosomal RNA". It matches the Rfam family "Eukaryotic large subunit ribosomal RNA", at positions 67 to 664 of the family's 3401-position model. Lineage: Eukaryota; Fungi; Ascomycota; Saccharomycetes; Saccharomycodales; Saccharomycodaceae. The record is from RNAcentral.
ACUAAUGGUAUACUUAGUACGGCGAGUGAGCGGUAAAAGCUCAAAUUUGAAAUCUGGUACUUUCAGUGCCCGAGUUGUAAUUUGUAGAAUUUGUCUUUGAUUAGGUCCUUGUCUAUGUUCCUUGGAACAGGACGUCAUAGAGGGUGAGAAUCCCGUUUGGCGAGGAUACCUUUUCUCUGUAAGACUUUUUCGAAGAGUCGAGUUGUUUGGGAAUGCAGCUCAAAGUGGGUGGUAAAUUCCAUCUAAAGCUAAAUAUUGGCGAGAGACCGAUAGCGAACAAGUACAGUGAUGGAAAGAUGAAAAGAACUUUGAAAAGAGAGUGAAAAAGUACGUGAAAUUGUUGAAAGGGAAGGGCAUUUGAUCAGACAUGGUGUUUUUUGCAUGCACUCGCCUCUCGUGGGCUUGGGCCUCUCAAAAAUUUCACUGGGCCAACAUCAAUUCUGGCAGCAGGAUAAAUCAUUAAGAAUGUAGCUACUUCGGUAGUGUUAUAGCUUUUUGGAAUACUGUUAGCCGGGAUUGAGGACUGCGCUUCGGCAAGGAUGUUGGCAUAAUGGUUAAAUGCCGCCCGUCUUGAACCCACGGGACCA